GACGAACGCGGGCGGCGUGCCUAAUACAUGCAAGUAGAACGCUGAAGGAGGAGCUUGCUUCUCUGGAUGAGUUGCGAACGGGUGAGUAACGCGUAGGUAACCUGCCUGGUAGCGGGGGAUAACUAUUGGAAACGAUAGCUAAUACCGCAUAAGAGUAGAUGUUGCAUGACAUUUACUUAAAAGGUGCAAUUGCAUCACUACCAGAUGGACUUGCGUUGUAUUAGCUAGUUGGUGGGGUAACGGCUCACCAAGGCGACGAUACAUAGCCGACCUGAGAGGGUGAUCGGCCACACUGGGACUGAGACACGGCCCAGACUCCUACGGGAGGCAGCAGUAGGGAAUCUUCGGCAAUGGACGGAAGUCUGACCGAGCAACGCCGCGUGAGUGAAGAAGGUUUUCGGAUCGUAAAGCUCUGUUGUAAGAGAAGAACGAGUGUGAGAGUGGAAAGUUCACACUGUGACGGUAUCUUACCAGAAAGGGACGGCUAACUACGUGCCAGCAGCCGCGGUAAUACGUAGGUCCCGAGCGUUGUCCGGAUUUAUUGGGCGUAAAGCGAGCGCAGGCGGUUAGAUAAGUCUGAAGUUAAAGGCUGUGGCUUAACCAUAGUACGCUUUGGAAACUGUUUAACUUGAGUGCAAGAGGGGAGAGUGGAAUUCCAUGUGUAGCGGUGAAAUGCGUAGAUAUAUGGAGGAACACCGGUGGCGAAAGCGGCUCUCUGGCUUGUAACUGACGCUGAGGCUCGAAAGCGUGGGGAGCAAACAGG
Molecule: ribosomal RNA, 763 nt
Filed under: uncultured Streptococcus sp.
Lineage: Bacteria; Bacillati; Bacillota; Bacilli; Lactobacillales; Streptococcaceae
Description: bacterial SSU rRNA
Rfam family: Bacterial small subunit ribosomal RNA
Source: RNAcentral